AUCAACUUUCGAUGGUAGGAUAGAGGCCUACCAUGGUGGUAACGGGUAACGGGGUGUUAGGGCACGACACCGGAGAGGGAGCCUGAGAAACGGCUACCACAUCCAAGGAUGGCAGCAGGCGCGCAAAUUACCCAAUCCCGACACGGGGAGGUAGUGACAAUAAAUAACAAUACGGGGUUCUUUCGGAUUUCGUAAUUGGAAUGAGUACAAUUUAAAUCUCUUAACGAGGAACAAUUGGAGGGCAAGUCUGGUGCCAGCAGCCGCGGUAAUUCCAGCUCCAAUAGCGUAUAUUAAAGUUGUUGCAGUUAAAAAGCUCGUAGUUGAAUUUCGGGAUCAAUAUAUCGGUCGUGCCUUCGGUAUGAACUGGUAUUAUUGAUUUCUACCUUCUGACGAAUCAUGAUGUCAUUAAUUUGGUGUCAUGGGGAAUCAGGACUGUUACUUUGAAAAAAUUAGAGUGUUUAAAGCAGGCACACGCUUGAAUACAUUAGCAUGGAAUAAUGAAAUAGGACGUUUGAUCUUAUUUUGUUGGUUUCUAGGAUCGACGUAAUGAUUAAUAGGGAUAGUUGGGGGCAUUAGUAUUCAAUUGUCAGAGGUGAAAUUCUUGGAUUUAUUGAAGACUAACUACUGCGAAAGCAUUUGCCAAGGAUGUUUUCAUUAAUCAAGAACGAAAGUUAGGGGAUCGAAGACGAUCAGAUACCGUCGUAGUCUUAACCAUAAACUAUGCCGACUAGGGAUCGGAUGAUGUUAAUUUUUUAAUGACUCAUUCGGCGCCUUACGGGAAACCAAAGUGUUUGGGUUC
This 799-nucleotide ribosomal RNA is filed under the name uncultured Glomeromycotina. Its description in RNAcentral is "SSU rRNA". It matches the Rfam family "Eukaryotic small subunit ribosomal RNA", at positions 314 to 1114 of the family's 1831-position model. The record is from RNAcentral. Lineage: Eukaryota; Fungi; Glomeromycota.